ACAAUGCCUUUGAAGAGUACUCUGCCCCUU
RNAcentral lists this non-coding RNA (30 nucleotides) under Rattus norvegicus (Norway rat). Lineage: Eukaryota; Metazoa; Chordata; Mammalia; Rodentia; Muridae. The record is from RNAcentral.